This 101-nucleotide small nucleolar RNA is filed under the name Neotoma lepida (desert woodrat). RNAcentral describes it as "Small nucleolar RNA SNORA40". It matches the Rfam family "Small nucleolar RNA SNORA40", at positions 23 to 128 of the family's 128-position model. From Rfam's summary of the family: The snoRNA ACA 40 belongs to the H/ACA family of snoRNAs and guides the pseudouridylation of 28S rRNA subunit at position U4565. NB This family has a high threshold value to exclude a large number of closely related sequences that do not appear to have conserved H and ACA boxes, and may be pseudogenes. Lineage: Eukaryota; Metazoa; Chordata; Mammalia; Rodentia; Cricetidae. The record is from Rfam by way of RNAcentral.
GGAACUGCUGUCCACUACAGACAGGUGCAAAAAUAAAUCCUCUUUUGCAACUGAGAACUCACUGUUCAGUAUGAGUUUUGAUACACACAAGAAAGAAUAUA